UAUUUUUGUGAAAAUAAAUUUGGUUACACUGGAUUAAACCCAUUUUUAUUAUGGAUCGAUAAAUUCACUGAGAGGGAGAGGGAGAGGGAGAGGGAGAGAGAGUAUGCGGUUGAUCAGCAGAGGAAGGAAUUUGAUGGGUUUUCACUGUCGCUGGAAUUUAUCUCAGUGGCUCAGUGCCAUGGUAACAAACAGUGCAAUUCGUGUAAAGCAAAUGUUGGAAGAAAAGCCUGGUUUCUGCCUUUUGGCUGAGUUUCCUCCUGAAGGAAGGCUGGUUUGAUCAUUUACGUGUGUACAAUUAUUAUGUCAAAGGAACCUGGAAAUAUCUCUAUAACAUAUUUUUGGAAUUUGUUGGCUUUUUUUCCAGUUUCAUUGACAUUUAAUUAAUGGUUGGCAGUGAAGCAUACAGUUAUUUUGAGCUCACCUUCACAGCCAAGCAGUCACACAUCAGAUGGAAGUGGGACACUGCUCUCAAGUUCAACAGAAAGUUGCUAUAAUAGCGAUCAGGGUAGUGGCAAUGAGGAUGGCCGAGAAGCCAGCUACAUAAUAUAUGAGGAGAGUUCAGAUGAAGUGGACUUUCUGGUUGGCUGAAAAAGCACCUUGUAAGCAAGAUCCGGAGUUUUGAGGUUGAUUUCUCUCUCUCUCUCUCUCUGUAGGUGUAAUGUAUCGGGUGAUUACAAGAAAUUUAGGUUCUUGUUGGUUUCCCCAAGUUUUUCAUUCGUUGGUUUGUUAUUGCAUGGCUUCACUGAUUAUGGGUUGCAUGAUUGUUUUUUCCUCGUGUGACUUUUUCAUAUGAAGCCAUAGCAAUGUCCUCCGCAAUACCAAUGUAGCAAUUCUGCUGCAUUUGGACGUUAAAGAACAACAUUGGUGUUCGUUGACAUUCUUAAACUUGUCCAAUGAUCCUUUACAGCCGAACUAAGCUAGGAAUCCCCUGGCAUAUAUAUGAUCCUCUCCCUCGACAGUUGUUAUCAUGGCUUUGCUUCACACUUGUUUUUUUGAGUUCAUCUGGUCCUUGGUUAGUAGUGGAGAUUUCUUACAUAUUAACCAACUCAUCUCCUGCACACCAGGUUAUUAUACCAUUUUGCCUCUAUACCUUUGUUCCAUGCAAUUCCAGCAAAAGGAUCACACAAAAGUCUCUCGUGGUUGAAAUUACACAGGAACAGAGGUAUAAAGGCAUUUUCGGGUCAGGUUAUUUGAGCUCCAUUUCCUUGGUUAUUAUCUCCAUGGUGUAUCAAUGUCACAAGAAACUCAAGAAGUUUGAUCCGAUGAUUCCUUAAAAGCUAUGGCUUAUACUGUUUCUUUCUUCUUUGAUUUGUUUUUAGGAGGAAACCAUGGUUUAUACUAAUAUAAUUGAAAUCCUGGACCUAGAUAUCAUCAUCCCAUGAGAGAGCCGGUAUCUCUAAAUUUCAUUUUGUUAGUAACACGAUACUUGCUCAUGGUAUCUAGAGUUAACGACAUAAAUGUGGUAAUUGGAUGCUUGAAAAUUUUGCUACGCCUAUCACUUUUUUAUAUUUGAAAGUAUUAAAGCACCAUAUCAUUGUAUUGAAAGAAAGUCUUGGAUCUCCCCCAACCAAGAGAUGGGGAAUUCCUUCCUGUAGGAUUCAUGAAUCUUAUUUUGUUUUUACCUUUUAGUUUGAGGAAGGCAUUGUUUUGUUAAUUGCUUUGUAUGUCGGCCUAUUAUGCAUGGACGGGACACGAGAAUUCUAAAAAAAUGGAGACACGGACACGGCGGGGGACACGCCACAUGUAUAUUUAUUUAUUCAUUUGUUUUUUAAUUUUUUCCCAAUUUUAAAUGGCAAAAUGUGGACAAAAUGAAAAAAUUCAUAAUUCUAAUACCAUUCAAACAAAACAAGACAUCCAUAAAUUCAAUACAACCCUAUUGAAAAAUUACAAUUUGAUCCUUGAAAUUUUUAAAAAAUUCUAAUUUGGCCCCCAAAAUUUUUAAAAAAUUACAGUUUGACCCCUAAUUUUUUUAAAAGUAUUUCACUUUAACGCCCACCGUGUUCCCAUCGGUGUCCCCGCCGUGUCGUGUCCCAUACGUGUCCCCAUGUCCGACAAUGCAAUACGUCGACCUCUAGAUGUGUCGGUACUUCAUUGAUGUCGGCCCUUAUGUGUUAAUUCUGUCUGCCAUGUAGCAUGAUUAGAUUCUAAUUAUGUGACUUGUACAUGAAGCUAAAAUAGUGUUCUUCUCAAUACCAGUUCAGCAUAUAUGUUGCAACUGGAUGUUAAGGGAACAACAUUUUUUUCUGACUGCAAAUCUCUUAUUUGUGUAUGGAACCUGCAACUUAACAAGUUUGAGUGCAUGAUUUUAUAAACUAUGGCUAAUACUUUCUUUUUGUUUUUGGUUGCAAAGUUAUCCCUGAUUAUUGGUGAAUAUAGGGAUUCUCGGUCUCUAUUGGGCCAAAGACUUAUGGCUCAUGGCCUUUCAGGGAAAGGAAAAACUUUUGGUCUAUGAUUCCGGGUUUUUGUUUGUUUGUUUUAGAAGAGCGCUAGAACAUCAGUCUGGUAGGUUCAAGAUGAGUUAAGAACAAGAACAACUAAAAGCUGAUAAUUGUGUUGUUGAGGGACUUGGUGAAGAUUUAGGCAUGGGUAAUAAACACAACAUUUCAUGGCUUAGACAUUUGUUGUCCUUGUUUGACUCACCUCUCUCUGAUACAUAACACUUCAAGUCUGAUGCUUAGAACACUUUUUGCUGUUACCACUUACCAGUGGAUGAAUGCGUGCGCCCAAUUACAAUUGUCCAACUCAUACAUAAAUGUACAAGAGAGGAUGCAUUUGAAAUUAGUCUAUGUGAGAGA
Molecule: long non-coding RNA, 2795 nt
Organism: Rhododendron vialii
Lineage: Eukaryota; Viridiplantae; Streptophyta; Magnoliopsida; Ericales; Ericaceae
Exons: 2
Source: RefSeq, a predicted model, not a curated record